This 71-nucleotide transfer RNA is filed under the name Scytonema hofmannii FACHB-248. RNAcentral's name for it is "tRNA-Trp". It matches the Rfam family "tRNA". Rfam says of the family: Transfer RNA (tRNA) molecules are approximately 80 nucleotides in length. Their secondary structure includes four short double-helical elements and three loops (D, anti-codon, and T loops). Further hydrogen bonds mediate the characteristic L-shaped molecular structure. tRNAs have two regions of fundamental functional importance: the anti-codon, which is responsible for specific mRNA codon recognition, and the 3' end, to which the tRNAs corresponding amino acid is attached (by aminoacyl-tRNA synthetases). tRNAs cope with the degeneracy of the genetic code in two manners: having more than one tRNA (with a specific anti-codon) for a particular amino acid; and 'wobble' base-pairing, i.e. permitting non-standard base-pairing at the 3rd anti-codon position. Lineage: Bacteria; Bacillati; Cyanobacteriota; Cyanophyceae; Nostocales; Scytonemataceae. The record is from RNAcentral.
GCAGGGAUAGUGUAACGGCAACAUCACGCUCUCCAAAAGCGUUGUUCUAGGUUCAAAUCCUAGUCCCUGCG